UGGACUUGCAAUUAUAACAUGGAAUCUCUACACACCCCAUGAGCUCGAUCCAAUCCACGCACACGAGUUGCCUGAGUAGCGACAGGUAUACCGAUGUGCAAUACGUAUCCGGCCAUAGGCACGGAACGAACAGGAACUGUGGUGCAGACAUACAAGGGCCAUGGGGCGGUACGCAAAGGAUACGGAUGAGCGAGUAUGCAGGCCCAAUACUCAAUAGCUCGAUCCGAUCCAAGCACAUGAGUUGACUGCGGCGUCAGGUUAACCAAUGUGCAAUACGUAUCCGGCUACGGCACGGAACGAACAGGAACUGUGGUGCAGACAUACAAGGGCCAUGGGGCGGUACGCAAAGGAUACGGAUGAGCGAGUAUGCAGGCCCAAUACUCAAUAGCUCGAUCCGAUCCAAGCACAUGAGUUGACUGCGGCGUCAGGUUAACCGAUGUGCUAAGAGAGUUGUUCCUGGGCCUUCAAAGUGACUUCAAAACUAUCUUAGCGAAUGGUGGCCAUGGGCGUAGACAUGAGCCACAAGUCACAAGGCCUGGGACUAUUGGGUAAUAAAGACAACUUAGUCAGAAAGUUAGUCUUUGGAC
Long non-coding RNA from Anopheles funestus (African malaria mosquito), 587 nucleotides. RefSeq lists it as uncharacterized. The record is from RefSeq and is a predicted model, not a curated record. The transcript is spliced from 2 exons. Lineage: Eukaryota; Metazoa; Arthropoda; Insecta; Diptera; Culicidae.